Molecule: long non-coding RNA, 299 nt
Organism: Phyllopteryx taeniolatus (common seadragon)
Lineage: Eukaryota; Metazoa; Chordata; Actinopteri; Syngnathiformes; Syngnathidae
Exons: 2
Source: RefSeq, a predicted model, not a curated record
AGAGCGGUCGCGGGCUGAGAAGUUGUACCUGGCCCUCGCCAUGCCGAAGGUUCGCGAGCCGCCUCCUGUCGGGCGACGUUCAGAACAUCCACAUUGUGAUUAAAAAGGGUCAAAAAUCGAGGCACCACCUGCUGCGGUGAAUCUUACUUAAUGCUGAUGGCAAAUUCUCCGCCGUCCUUCUGCCGGACCAGGUAGGUUCCUUCAGAGCGGGACAUGAGCAGGUUCUUGGCGGCGGGUCGGUCCAUGUUCCCCGCAAACCUUCAAACAUGGACAAUCACAACUACUUCUUUAGCCAGCAC